CAACUAACCUGGCAAGGAAGAUACCAUGAUCCAGAAGAUGGUCUUCCCAGAGUGAGGUUAUUCUUUACACUCUGGAUAUGCUCUACUCCAUAUCUUAUCCUGUCCAGUUCUAAUACUUCUUUGAAUGCUUAGUUGUUUUUGAAGUUUAUAUUGUAGUUGCCUCAG
This 165-nucleotide small nuclear RNA is filed under the name Salvator merianae (Argentine black and white tegu). Its description in RNAcentral is "U1 spliceosomal RNA (ENSSMRG00000018022.1)". It matches the Rfam family "U1 spliceosomal RNA". From Rfam's summary of the family: U1 is a small nuclear RNA (snRNA) component of the spliceosome (involved in pre-mRNA splicing). The record is from RNAcentral. Lineage: Eukaryota; Metazoa; Chordata; Lepidosauria; Squamata; Teiidae.